This 265-nucleotide long non-coding RNA is filed under the name Homo sapiens (human). RNAcentral's name for it is "HSALNT0287358". The record is from RNAcentral. Lineage: Eukaryota; Metazoa; Chordata; Mammalia; Primates; Hominidae.
UUUGCAUCAGCCUCCUGGGCUGUGCCUGGAACAAGGAGCCCAGGGCAACCAGGUACAUAGUCACAGCCCUUCAUCUCUGACCGUGUUCUUAUUGCAUUUGGCAAAAAAGUAGAAGCCGCCUAAUACAGGGGUUUUCUGUUCAAGAGGCCCCAAGGCUGUCCUCCGUGGGCUCUCCCUCCGGCAGGUGGAUUGGAACGAGAUGGGGAUUCUGGGACACAGCUCAAUCCACAUGGCCUUCCCCACGGCCAGGGAUCCUCAUUUGAAA